CAGAUAUUAGUUUAUAUAAAAUUUUAAUUUUGGAGAUUAAAGAUAGAAGAUUUUCUAUAUCUGA
This 64-nucleotide transfer RNA is filed under the name Psylliodes hispanus. RNAcentral's name for it is "tRNA-Pro". The record is from RNAcentral. Lineage: Eukaryota; Metazoa; Arthropoda; Insecta; Coleoptera; Chrysomelidae.